This 800-nucleotide ribosomal RNA is filed under the name uncultured bacterium. RNAcentral's name for it is "bacterial SSU rRNA". It matches the Rfam family "Bacterial small subunit ribosomal RNA", at positions 9 to 776 of the family's 1533-position model. The record is from RNAcentral.
GAGUUUGAUCAUGGCUCAGGAUGAACGCUGGCGGCGUGCCUAAUACAUGCAAGUCGAACGAAACUUCUUUAUCACCGAGUGCUUGCACUCACCGAUAAAGAGUUGAGUGGCGAACGGGUGAGUAACACGUGGGCAACCUGCCCAAAAGAGGGGGAUAACACUUGGAAACAGGUGCUAAUACCGCAUAACCAUAGUUACCGCAUGGUAACUAUGUAAAAGGUGGCUAUGCUACCGCUUUUGGAUGGGCCCGCGGCGCAUUAGCUAGUUGGUGGGGUAAAGGCUUACCAAGGCAAUGAUGCGUAGCCGAACUGAGAGGUUGAUCGGCCACAUUGGGACUGAGACACGGCCCAAACUCCUACGGGAGGCAGCAGUAGGGAAUCUUCCACAAUGGGCGAAAGCCUGAUGGAGCAACGCCGCGUGGGUGAAGAAGGUCUUCGGAUCGUAAAACCCUGUUGUUAGAGAAGAAAGUGCGUGAGAGUAACUGUUCACGUUUCGACGGUAUCUAACCAGAAAGCCACGGCUAACUACGUGCCAGCAGCCGCGGUAAUACGUAGGUGGCAAGCGUUAUCCGGAUUUAUUGGGCGUAAAGGGAACGCAGGCGGUCUUUUAAGUCUGAUGUGAAAGCCUUCGGCUUAACCGGAGUAGUGCAUUGGAAACUGGGAGACUUGAGUGCAGAAGAGGAGAGUGGAACUCCAUGUGUAGCGGUGAAAUGCGUAGAUAUAUGGAAGAACACCAGUGGCGAAAGCGGCUCUCUGGUCUGUAACUGACGCUGAGGUUCGAAAGCGUGGGGAGCAAACAGG